Molecule: long non-coding RNA, 2055 nt
Organism: Oncorhynchus tshawytscha (Chinook salmon)
Lineage: Eukaryota; Metazoa; Chordata; Actinopteri; Salmoniformes; Salmonidae
Source: Ensembl
ACUGAGCCGGACAAUCUUCUCUCUUCUCUCUUCGAUGAGAGCCCACGCACUUCCCCGGUGUUUCCAUGGAUCAAGUAUGCAGUCAUUUGCGCAUCUCCAGUCAGAACAGAACCUGCACAAACGUUUUCCCCAUGGCACAUUUUCUGGCUGGCACCUGCAUUGCCUUCAUUGUUGUUUAUAUUAGUAAUAAUAGCCUUGGAUAUGUGUGUGUUCCUAUCAAAGUUGCUACAAGGGCUUGGACUCGUCCGCUUGGCAAAUGACUGUGAAAGGAAAGGAUGAGGGUCCUCCAUUACGAACACAGUAGCUGUUGAGGACAUUUCACCUUUGUUCAGUGUCUGCACUGUAUGGGAACAAGUGCAGGUUUUAAGUCUCAGAACUACACUACGGAGCAUUCAUGAGUUUUCUUGACAUCUCUUUCUGCAAAAGCCACAGCAGAACAUCUUCUCAGAUACAUCUGGAAAACUCUAAAGAGGAGGGUCAACAUCUAUUUAAUUCAAUGUGUAUUUUUAAGGACCAAGCAUCUGAGGUGCAGUUUGAAGAUCAUUUAAGUUUACAUCAUCCUUUAAAAUACUGGACGUCAGAAUUGACAAGUGGAUUCAAUGAUUUAAAAAAGAAAUACAGACAGACAGACAGAAAUACAGACAGACAGACAGACAGACAGACAGACAGACAGACAGACAGACAGACAGACAGACAGACAGACAGACAGACAGACAGACAGACAGACAGACAGACAGACAGACAGACAGACAGACAGACAGACAGACAGACAGACAGACAGACAGACAAAAUGUCAGAUGAAUACAUAUUUCUCAAGAUGAUGUCGUAAGCUUCUUAACACCGUAACCCACGUCAUAAGGGCUCAACACACAGUGAUAACAACCACACAAAGACACACCACAACCACAGGAUCUGACUAGUAGAGUGACUCCAGAAAUAUGUCAGGGGAAGGCCCUAAAAAUUGACAAAGACUCCAGCCACCCUAAUCUUAUUCUGUUUUCUCUGCUACAGCACAGCAAGCGGUACCUUAGCGCCAAGUCUAGGACCAAAAGGCUCCUUAACAACUUCUACCCCCAAGCCAUAAGACUGCUGAACAGCUAAUCAAAUAGCUACCCGGACUAUCUGCAUUGAUCCUCCCUUUUUUAUCCUACUGCUUUUCUCUAUUUAUUAUCUAUGCGUAGUCACUUUACCUCUACCUACAUGUUACCUCAGUUGCCACAACCUGUACCCCCCACACAUUGACUCUGUACCAGUACCCCCUGUAUAUAGCCUUGUUAUUAUUAUUUUGUUUUACUUUUUGUUUUACGUUAGCUUAUUUAGUAAAUAUGAACUCUUAUUCUUCUUAAGUGCAUUGUUGUUUAAGGGCUUGUAAGUAAGCAUUUUAAGGUAAGGUCUACAUCUGUUGUAUUUGGUACAUGUGACAAAUAAGUUUGAUUUGAUUUAGUUUUACCCAAUCAUCUGGCUCAUUAUUUGGUGGUUGUAGAGUAAUUAGUCUCAAGCGUCCCAAGUGUUUAAUGUCACUCUCUCCCUCUCCUGCGAGACUGCCGUUAAUUAAAAUACAAAACUCAAAAAAUCUUCCUGUUUAUUAGACACAGUGGCGGGUUGCUGUUGCACCAAAUUGAGGUGUAAUUGUAGCGCUGGGUUGAAAGGCACCGUCUCAUCGCUCAUCGGUUACGCUCACUAUGGUAAUUAUUUGUGUUUUCAUUUGGUGUCGCCACGGAAACGAGCAAUGGCCACUUCAGAAUCAAAAGGCUUGAGAGCCGGAGACACUUCCACGGUUAACAUGAUCUGUAGAGUGUCUUGGUAAUUAUGAAUGAAUCACUGUACUCUAUUGAAUCCCCAAGGGAGAUAAUAGGUUUACAUUGGCUACCAUCAGCUUUCACACUUAGACAUCAGACAAAGCAUAUGGCCAUGAGAAUAUGGCAAUCAACAUGGGCUCUGACGAAUGAGGAACACUUUUUAUUGACAAAUUAUAUUUGACAGUUGAUCUACUGUAUGGUGUUAUUACGUUCUGUGGACAGGUGACAGUUAUAUUAAGCAUAUGUUAAGCACAGG